Cyanistes caeruleus (blue tit) is the source of this 2285-nucleotide long non-coding RNA. RefSeq lists it as uncharacterized. Lineage: Eukaryota; Metazoa; Chordata; Aves; Passeriformes; Paridae. The record is from RefSeq and is a predicted model, not a curated record.
UCGGUCUUCCCGCCAACGAAGGUCGCCGCCACCUCCCUCCUCAGGCGCCUCUUCAGAUGGCAGGACCUGGAGCUGGUCCUGUACAUCAGCUGGGAGCUGGUGAAGGGAUUUGUCAUGCUCCAGCAGCAGGAAGGAGCACACUCCAGCAGCCAGUUCCUUAACACGGAUUUCACUUUCUUGUAAGGAGAACAGCAUAACCCAGAGUUACUGCAGGCAACCAGAAAGCAGUUUUUCAACAUGCUGGAUAAAAAGCAAUUAAAAUAUUUGUGAGUCUAUGUGGGUUUUUAUUAGCUCCCAUUGACACAGGAAUGGUUCAGCUUCAGCAGAUCCUAGACCUGGUGAUGUGUCCAGUGGAGCAGCAGCUGCUCUUCCCCCAGGCCUUGGCUGCUGACUGGGACACUCCUCCCACAAAGCUCCAUAAACAGCACAGUGGAGCUGCCUGAAAUGGAAUUCCACACAGUGAUGCUGCCUCCUCCCCACUUCCUGCCCACCCUCCCUGAAAUUCUCAGUCACUUUAGGGAACAUGAAUUAGCACAGCUGUCCCAUCACCUGCACUGCAGGGGUGUCUCUCAUGGCCUCUCCAAGCUGCAGGAACACAAGACCCUACCUGAGGCUGAAUGACCCUCAAGAUCUCAUGGUACAAAAGCUUCUUCUCAAGAAUUCCCAUCAGACUGUUCAUUCCUUCUCAGUAUUUCAAGUCUUUGUGAUCUUAUUUAAUAUUUAAGAGUCAGCAGAAAGCACGCCUGGAAUCCAUGGAGGAUUCACCUCCCACCGAAGAGGAGCAGGAGCUCACAGGACUCCAAGUGCUGUGCUGAGGUGGAUUUCAGUUGUUGCCAUUGCAAUGUGAAGGCCUUUGACCUGAGCUCUCCCAUCUCUCCAGGGCUGCUCUUCUGACUGGGAGAGCUGCCACCCCACCCAGCUCCAUCCCAGUGCCACCCACUACUCAGGAAUACACGUGUACCAUUUUUGGAGGUCAUUUAUUCAGCAUUAACCAAGCUGAUUUCCAGUCUGUUCUGCACAGUGGUGCCUUCAAAAUGAAGCUUGUGCAGCGCAGCAUAUUGAAGUAACACGGACUGUAAGUGGGGUAUUACAAGUCAGAACACAUUCCCUAAGAGACAGCAAUGCAAAUCAAAGUGUGAAAUUAGUGAUGUGAUCCCACCAUUUUGCCAUGCCUGUGCAGAACCCAAGUGAAGCUCUCUUGUCCUUUGAGGCACAUCUCCUUGAUGAACCUGUGCAGCCCUUGGGCUUAGGGAAGGGCAGGAGGGAAGAAGCAGUUUCCAUGACAAAUGUCCAUCUGACACAUUUAGCAAGGACACAGCACAGGAUUUACCUCCUGCUUCAGCGAGACCCUCAGCCCCCAGACCACAGUUCUGCCCCUCUCCCUCCCCUGAUAAAUCCUGGCUGCCCACAGCAGAGGUUCCUGACAGAGAAGCCCCAGAACAGGCCACACAUUAAGGCAGAGUCUCCAAACCUCAGAAGUGCAGGUGCUCAAGCACUGCAGGAAGAAGGGACUUGUUUCUGCCCCUCCUGCUGUCAGGAUGCCUCUUCUGGGAGCCUCCUCUGAGGCUGUGCCUGCCUUACAGAGCCCUGCCAGCAAAAUUGUUUCAUUAGAGGGGCAAGGGAAAGGUUCUUCCCACAGCCUUGGGAGGACAGACCUACACCCCACCUUGAGUUUGAUGGCACAAACAAGAACAUCACCCCAGCACAGUGACAGCUACGUCUGCACAGCUGGGUUAGCACCCAAGCGCGUAUGAGCAGAGGACAGUGAGGUGUCCCACAGUGAGGCACAGCACCAGGGAUCCCAGAGCACCCCUGGAGAGCUGUUCUGCCACACAUACAGGGGUUAGCAAUAGAGAAUGAACUGGGCCAUGAUUACCAGCAGUGAUAAAUGCAGUGAGAACCACAGCUGCUGCAGCCUCCUUCCAUUUUUAAUUAGCUUUGUGCCCAGCUUUCAAAAGGCAGAAACCAAAACUGGUCACAAUAUCCCAGAUUACUCUUACCACCAGCAUUUAGAUGUCCUUCCUGGCAUCACCGUUUAACACACACACACAUGUUCUGACAUGCUUCAGCACUGCCUGUCCAAUGAUUCAGAUCCUUUUCAGGCUGGACUCUCUUCGCUUUUGCUGCCUGAAAGCUCUAUGAUCUGGCACAUUUUCUUUGCUGUCUGCUCUAUCAGUCUAUGCUGUCUGCACAUUCAACAUUGUGUUUUCUUCCCAAGUACUCAGUGAAUAGAACUGCACACGAGAGUUGGGAUGCCUUACACUCACUUCAGGUGACACAACUGU